RNAcentral lists this ribosomal RNA (513 nucleotides) under uncultured bacterium. RNAcentral's name for it is "partial 16S ribosomal RNA". It matches the Rfam family "Bacterial small subunit ribosomal RNA", at positions 338 to 871 of the family's 1533-position model. The record is from RNAcentral.
ACCNCAGGAGNCUNCAGNGCNGAAUANUGAACAAUGAGAAAGCCUGNCGCAGNGGCNCGCGNCNGAGGAAGUCAUNCNUUGUAAUCCCCUGUCAGCUCUGGGGAAGCGGGGGUGACGGUAGGGGCAGAAGAAGCGCCGGCCAACUACGUGCCAGCAGCCGCGGUAAGACGUAGGGCGCAAGCGUUGUCCGGAUUUAUUGGGCGUAAAGAGCUCGUAGGCGGCCUGUCGCGUCAAUCGUGAAAUCCUGCGGCUUAACUGUGGGGUUGCGGUUGAUACGGGCGGGCUGGAGUUCGGUAGGGGAGACUGGAAUUCCUGGUGUAGCGGUGAAAUGCGCAGAUAUCAGGAGGAACACCGGUGGCGAAGGCGGGUCUCUGGGCCGUUACUGACGCUGAGGAGCGAAAGCGUGGGGAGCGAACAGGAUUAGAUACCCUGGUAGUCCAUGCUGUAAACGUUGGGCGCUAGGUGUGGGGCCUUCCCGGGUUUCUGUGCCGUAGCUAACGCAUAAGCNCCCNG